RNAcentral lists this unclassified non-coding RNA (344 nucleotides) under soil metagenome. Its description in RNAcentral is "partial contains 5.8S ribosomal RNA, internal transcribed spacer 2, and large subunit ribosomal RNA". The stretch from base 1 to 120 matches the Rfam family "5.8S ribosomal RNA", at positions 35 to 154 of the family's 154-position model. The record is from RNAcentral.
GAUGAAGAACGCAGCGAAAUGCGAUAAGUAAUGUGAAUUGCAGAAUUCAGUGAAUCAUCGAAUCUUUGAACGCACAUUGCGCCCGCCAGUAUUCUGGCGGGCAUGCCUGUUCGAGCGUCAUUUCAACCCUCAAGCCCCCGGGCUUGGUGUUGGGGAUCUGCGUGCCCUCGCGGCGCGCCGUCCCCUAAAUCUAGUGGCGGUCUCGCUGUAGCUUCCUCUGCGUAGUAGCAACACUCGCACUGGAUCGCAGCGCGGCCACGCCGUUAAACCCCCCACUUCUGAAAGUUUGACCUCGGAUCAGGUAGGAGUACCCGCUGAACUUAAGCAUAUCAAUAAGCGGAGGA